Molecule: ribosomal RNA, 424 nt
Filed under: uncultured bacterium
Lineage: Bacteria
Description: bacterial SSU rRNA
Rfam family: Bacterial small subunit ribosomal RNA
Source: RNAcentral
UCAGCAGCCGCGGUAAAACGUAGGAGGCGAGCGUUAUCCGGAUUUACUGGGCGUAAAGCGCGUGCAGGCGGACUGGAAAGUUGGAUGUGAAAGCUCCUGGCUUAACUGGGAGAGGUCGUUCAAAACUACCAGACUAGAGGGCGAUAGAGGGAAGCGGAAUUCCGGGUGUAGUGGUGAAAUGCGUAGAUAUCCGGAGGAACACCAGUGGCGAAAGCGGCUUCCUGGGUCGUCUCUGACGCUCAGACGCGAAAGCUAGGGUAGCAAACGGGAUUAGAGACCCCGGUAGUCCUAGCUGUAAACGAUGUAGACUUGGCGUAGGAGGGUUUAAAUCCUUCUGUGCCGUAGCAAACGCGAUAAGUCUACCGCCUGGGGACUACGGCCGCAAGGUUAAAACUCAAAGGAAUUGACGGGGGCCCGCACAAGC